This 251-nucleotide ribosomal RNA is filed under the name uncultured prokaryote. RNAcentral describes it as "partial 16S ribosomal RNA". It matches the Rfam family "Bacterial small subunit ribosomal RNA", at positions 525 to 775 of the family's 1533-position model. The record is from RNAcentral.
ACGUAGGUGGCAAGCGUUGUCCGGAAUUACUGGGCGUAAAGGGCGCGUAGGCGGUCUUUUAAGUCAGAUGUGAAAACCCGGGGCUCAACCUCGGACCUGCAUUUGAAACUGGGAGACUCGAGUGUCGGAGAGGAAAGCGGAAUUCCUAGUGUAGCGGUGAAAUGCGUAGAUAUUAGGAGGAACACCAGUGGCGAAGGCGGCUUUCUGGACGAUAACUGACGCUGAGGCGCGAAAGCGUGGGGAGCAAACAG